Molecule: ribosomal RNA, 343 nt
Filed under: Hydroporus angustatus
Lineage: Eukaryota; Metazoa; Arthropoda; Insecta; Coleoptera; Dytiscidae
Description: partial 12S ribosomal RNA
Source: RNAcentral
UAUAAAUGUAAAUUUUUAUCAAAGUAGUAUUAGUUAUGAUCUUGAAAUUUAAAAAUUUUGGCGGUAUUUUAGUCUAUUCAGAGGAACCUGUUCUGUAAUUGAUAGUCCACGAUAAAUUAUACUUUAUUUAUUAGUUUAUAUAUCGUCGUUAUUAAAUAUUUUAUAAGAAUUAUAAUAUUUAAGAUUUUUAAUUAAAAAAUAUAUCAGAUCAAGGUGUAGUUUAUAAUAAAGAAGAAAUGGGUUACAAUAAAUAUAUUUAUGGAUUUGUAUAUAAAAAUAUAUAAUAAAAUUGGAUUUGAUAGUAAUAAAUUUUAAAUUAAAUUUAUGAUUUUAGCUCUAAAAU